RNAcentral lists this ribosomal RNA (498 nucleotides) under uncultured bacterium. Its description in RNAcentral is "partial 16S ribosomal RNA". It matches the Rfam family "Bacterial small subunit ribosomal RNA", at positions 27 to 507 of the family's 1533-position model. The record is from RNAcentral.
GGAUGAACGCUGGCGGCGUGCCUAAUACAUGCAAGUCGAGCGAACAGAUGAGAAGCUUGCUCCUCUGACGUUAGCGGCGGACGGGUGAGUAACACGUGGAUAACCUACCUAUAAGACUGGGAUAACUUCGGGAAACCGGAGCUAAUACCGGAUAAUAUAUUGAACCGCAUGGUUCAAUAGUGAAAGACGGUUUUGCUGUCACUUAUAGAUGGAUCCGCGCCGCAUUAGCUAGUUGGUAAGGUAACGGCUUACCAAGGCGACGAUGCGUAGCCGACCUGAGAGGGUGAUCGGCCACACUGGAACUGAGACACGGUCCAGACUCCUACGGGAGGCAGCAGUAGGGAAUCUUCCGCAAUGGGCGAAAGCCUGACGGAGCAACGCCGCGUGAGUGAUGAAGGUCUUCGGAUCGUAAAACUCUGUUAUUAGGGAAGAACAAAUGUGUAAGUAACUAUGCACGUCUUGACGGUACCUAAUCAGAAAGCCACGGCUAACUACGUG